This 253-nucleotide ribosomal RNA is filed under the name uncultured bacterium. Its description in RNAcentral is "partial 16S ribosomal RNA". It matches the Rfam family "Bacterial small subunit ribosomal RNA", at positions 524 to 776 of the family's 1533-position model. The record is from RNAcentral.
UACGAAGGGGGCUAGCGUUGCUCGGAAUUACUGGGCGUAAAGGGCGCGUAGGCGGAUGUUUAAGUCGGGGGUGAAAGCCCGGGGCUCAACCUCGGAAUUGCCUUCGAUACUGGACAUCUUGAGUACGGGAGAGGUGAGUGGAACUCCGAGUGUAGAGGUGAAAUUCGUAGAUAUUCGGAAGAACACCAGUGGCGAAGGCGGCCCGCUGGGCAGUGGCUGACGCUGAGGCGCGACAGCGUGGGGAGCAAACAGG